RNAcentral lists this microRNA (22 nucleotides) under Tribolium castaneum (red flour beetle). Its description in RNAcentral is "tca-miR-316-3p". Its record names the gene tca-miR-316-3p. The record is from miRBase by way of RNAcentral. Lineage: Eukaryota; Metazoa; Arthropoda; Insecta; Coleoptera; Tenebrionidae.
CCAGCAGAGAGGAUGAGGCUAG